This 806-nucleotide ribosomal RNA is filed under the name Citricoccus nitrophenolicus. Its description in RNAcentral is "bacterial SSU rRNA". It matches the Rfam family "Bacterial small subunit ribosomal RNA", at positions 64 to 880 of the family's 1533-position model. Lineage: Bacteria; Bacillati; Actinomycetota; Actinomycetes; Micrococcales; Micrococcaceae. The record is from RNAcentral.
ACGCUGAAGCUCCAGCUUGCUGGGGUGGAUGAGUGGCGAACGGGUGAGUAACACGUGAGUAACCUUCCCUUGACUCUGGGAUAAGCCCGGGAAACUGGGUCUAAUACCGGAUACGACCUCCUGCCGCAUGGUAUGGGGGUGGAAAGAUUUAUCGGUCUUGGAUGGACUCGCGGCCUAUCAGCUUGUUGGUGAGGUAAUGGCUCACCAAGGCGACGACGGGUAGCCGGCCUGAGAGGGUGACCGGCCACACUGGGACUGAGACACGGCCCAGACUCCUACGGGAGGCAGCAGUGGGGAAUAUUGCACAAUGGGCGCAAGCCUGAUGCAGCGACGCCGCGUGAGGGAUGACGGCCUUCGGGUUGUAAACCUCUUUCAGUAGGGAAGAAGCGAAAGUGACGGUACCUGCAGAAGAAGCGCCGGCUAACUACGUGCCAGCAGCCGCGGUAAUACGUAGGGCGCGAGCGUUAUCCGGAAUUAUUGGGCGUAAAGAGCUCGUAGGCGGUUUGUCGCGUCUGCCGUGAAAGUCCGGGGCUUAACCCCGGAUCUGCGGUGGGUACGGGCAGACUAGAGUGCAGUAGGGGAGACUGGAAUUCCUGGUGUAGCGGUGAAAUGCGCAGAUAUCAGGAGGAACACCGAUGGCGAAGGCAGGUCUCUGGGCUGUUACUGACGCUGAGGAGCGAAAGCAUGGGGAGCGAACAGGAUUAGAUACCCUGGUAGUCCAUGCCGUAAACGUUGGGCACUAGGUGUGGGGGACAUUCCACGUUUUCCGCGCCGCAGCUAACGCAUUAAGUGCCCCGCCUGGGGAG